Molecule: non-coding RNA, 1858 nt
Organism: Cucurbita pepo subsp. pepo (vegetable marrow)
Lineage: Eukaryota; Viridiplantae; Streptophyta; Magnoliopsida; Cucurbitales; Cucurbitaceae
Source: RefSeq, a predicted model, not a curated record
UUAGCAUACCUUCAAGCGGACGUCCCACGAAACCGUCAAUUUCUUUGCUCUUAUGCCAUUGUGAAAUGGUGGUCCAGAUCCCACUCUCCUUCGAUUGGUUUUAGCGAAGAAUCUCGAGACCACGCGUCUGCAGAUCAAAUGGCCUUCAAACUUCUGAGACCGAUCCUUCGAUUGCAAAUGGUGGAUGUCUUCGCGCCAAUCUCUUUCUUUAAUUUAUCACCGGUAAAUGUCUUUGCGCCAAUCUGAGAUUUCUACUUUUCAGAUGAUUAUUCGUAUUAUUAAGGUUGAUCGCAUCUUCUGCUUGUGAGUUUAAACACAUUAAGAAGUUGAUGUUUUAUCCAGUUUGAAUUGAGGAAUAGAUUCUCAAAAUGAAGCAGGUUGUACUCUGUCGCUUACGGAAUUAAGCUAGAGCCAUGAAUUGUCUCCAUCUCGCCGCUAAGUACCCUGUUAUGAUUCUAGCUCGUUACCUUCCUUUCCUUUUCCUUGUUCGUGGGGGCAUUCGGAUACCGAAGUUAAGAUCGCACAAUACGAAUGAGGUUAUAUUUUAUGGAGUGUCAUGCUGUUUUCGUCUUUGGUUGUGGUUGCAGGACUGCCCUAUUUUCUUCAACUAAGACGUCAAGGUUUUCAUCCCAAGUAUUAUGCAUGCUUAUUAUUUGAUCCAUGUUUUCCCUGGGAUUUUUGACGGAUUAUGUAUGCCCGUGGACUAACAAAAGUUUGAUUAACAUGGAAAUCUUUUAAUCGAUGAAAUUUCUGCCUCAAUGUGAUAUGCUUUUAGUCACAAUAUACAAAUUACUUGCUCGAGUUGGAAUUCAUGGUUUUUCUGGUUCAUGAAAGAAUAUAUUGAAGCAGCGAAGUCCGUGUUUUCUAUUGGAGAGUAUUGGGAUUCUUGUAAUUAUAAUGGCCAUGACUUGGACUACGAUCAAGAUAGACAUAGAAUGGAUAAUAGAUUGGAUUGACAACACAGGAUAACUUUCAUCUGCUUUUGAUUUUACAACCAAGGGAGUUCUUCAGGUCUCCCUGUAUGUGAGGCCAUUGCAAACCCCCGUCCCCCCUCCAAAGUGUCCAUUGGCCCCUUCCUGCCAGCCAUAUCAUGGAGGCAUCCAAACUGUAUCAGCUUGGAAUAGAGUGUUAUCUUGUUUGCAGUCUAAUUCUCGCUCACUCCGCUGUGGCUUUCUUUCAGCUAUGCUUCGUUUUAUAGAAUAAUCUAACCGUCCUGUGUGGACACUACUACCUUGUCCCAGUCAUCAAACUUGGGCAACUUGGUUUUACCUGCCACUUGAUUAAUGGAUAGACCGAUUAAUUUAUUCUCGAGAGAUUCUCUACAUGCAGGAUUGUAAAGUAGAUUUGCUGAGGACUCCAAGUGCAGCAGCGAUGAACACCUCUCUCUGACGUCCACCGCCGAACCAUAAUUGGGGAUUCUCAGGUACAGUUAAAAAACUGUUGAUUUUUAUUGACUUUGAGACAUUUUCAUUACGGCAGAUAUCCACUUUUUAACCACAACGGCUCGCAUUCAUUGGAAACAGUGUGGGAAUCCCAUCCAGCUGUGCGCCGAAGAUGCUUCCAUUAUUACCUUCUCCUGAGGCGGCGCGUGCGUUUCGCGGUCGGCCAUUCACGGCGGCGCUUUCAGGCUACGUGCUUGUUUCGUCCCCCGCCGUCGGCUGCCAGCAGGAAAUGGUUUUGCAGAUGGUGUUUAUUUUAGGUCCGUUUGGUAUUUUGGAAUUAGAGCCUAUGAAGAUCUGAUAUGAUCUUCUUCAAGCUUUGGAGCGAGCUAGCUAGGGUUUCGCCUUAUAAUUUUCUGCAGACGGACAGUCGUAGGGAAUAAUUCUCUCUCCAAUUUAUUAAAAAUCAUUUUGUUAAU